RNAcentral lists this ribosomal RNA (446 nucleotides) under uncultured bacterium. RNAcentral describes it as "bacterial SSU rRNA". It matches the Rfam family "Bacterial small subunit ribosomal RNA", at positions 329 to 792 of the family's 1533-position model. The record is from RNAcentral.
CGCCAGACUCCUACGGGAGGCAGCAGUGGGGAAUAUUGCACAAUGGGGGGAACCCUGAUGCAGCGACGCCGCGUGAGUGAAGAAGUAUUUCGGUAUGUAAAGCUCUAUCAGCAGGGAAGAAAAUGACGGUACCUGAAGAAGAAGCCCCGGCUAACUACGUGCCAGCAGCCGCGGUAAUACGUAGGGGGCAAGCGUUAUCCGGAUUUACUGGGUGUAAAGGGGGCGCAGACGGCGAUGCAAGCCAGGAGUGAAAGCCCGGGGCCCAACCCCGGGACUGCUCUUGGAACUGCGUGGCUGGAGUGCAGGAGGGGCAGGCGGAAUUCCUGGUGUAGCGGUGAAAUGCGUAGAUAUCAGGAGGAACACCGGUGGCGAAGGCGGCCUGCUGGACUGCAACUGACGUUGAGGCCCGAAAGCGUGGGGAGCAAACAGGAUUAGAUACCCGGGUA